Molecule: ribosomal RNA, 506 nt
Filed under: uncultured Glomus
Lineage: Eukaryota; Fungi; Glomeromycota; Glomeromycetes; Glomerales; Glomeraceae
Description: SSU rRNA
Rfam family: Eukaryotic small subunit ribosomal RNA
Source: RNAcentral
AGCAGCCGCGGUAAUUCCAGCUCCAAUAGCGUAUAUUAAAGUUGUUGCGGUUAAAAAGCUCGUAGUUGAAUUUCGGGGUCAGUAGGUUGGUCAUGCCACUGGUAUGUACUGGUCUCACUGAUUCCUCCUUCCUGAUGAACUGUAAUGCCAUUAAUUUGGUGUUGCAGGGAAUCAGGACUGUUACUUUGAAAAAUUAGAGUGUUUAAAGCAGGCUCGCGCUUGAAUACAUUAGCAUGGAAUAAUGAAAUAGGACGUUUGAUUCUAUUUUGUUGGUUUCUAGGAUCGACGUAAUGAUUAAUAGGGAUAGUUGGGGGCAUUAGUAUUCAAUUGUCAGAGGUGAAAUUCUUGGAUUUAUUGAAGACUAACUACUGCGAAAGCAUUUGCCAAGGAUGUUUUCAUUAAUCAAGAACGAAAGUUAGGGGAUCGAAGACGAUCAGAUACCGUCGUAGUCUUAACCAUAAACUAUGCCGACUAGGGAUCGGAUGAUGUUAAUUUUUAAUGACUCU